GACGAACGCUGGCGGCGUGCUUAACACAUGCAAGUCGAACGGAAAGGCCCUGCUUGCAGGGUACUCGAGUGGCGAACGGGUGAGUAACACGUGGGUGAUCCGCCCUGCACUUCGGGAUAAGCCUGGGAAACUGGGUCUAAUACCGGAUAGGAGCCAUUCUUAGUGUGAUGGUUGGAAAGUUUUUUCGGUGUAGGAUGAGCUCGCGGCCUAUCUGCUUGUUGGUGGGGUAAUGGCCUACCAAGGCGGCGACGGGUAGCCGGCCUGAGAGGGUGGACGGCCACAUUGGGACUGAGAUACGGCCCAGACUCCUACGGGAGGCAGCAGUGGGGAAUAUUGCACAAUGGGCGCAAGCCUGAUGCAGCGACGCCGCGUGGGGGAUGACGGCCUUCGGGUUGGAAACUCCUUUCGCUAGGGACGAAGCUUUUUGUGACGGUACCUAGAUAAGAAGCACCGGCUAACUACGUG
Molecule: ribosomal RNA, 465 nt
Filed under: uncultured bacterium
Lineage: Bacteria
Description: partial 16S ribosomal RNA
Rfam family: Bacterial small subunit ribosomal RNA
Source: RNAcentral